This 1733-nucleotide long non-coding RNA is filed under the name Androctonus crassicauda. Lineage: Eukaryota; Metazoa; Arthropoda; Arachnida; Scorpiones; Buthidae. The record is from RNAcentral.
GUUCUAUUAUUAAUUGCAUUUGAAAUUUCAAAUUCAGCUAUCUGUGUCUGAUUGAAUGUAAUUGUUAGAAUAAUAAUAAUUAACUUAGAAUCAAAGUUACAAUGAGUUGAAUUUCUAAUGACUCCUGUAAUAAGAAUCAAUCGGUGAUUACUGUACUUGCUUAGAAUCAUUGCCAUGCCUCUUGAUAGUCUGGAAAUAUUUUGAGAGGAUACAUAGAUGCUUGCUUAUGAUUAAUGAAAAUGAAUUUAGACAAAUGUUAUAUAUUGUAUUACAACGGUUGUUCAUGUCAAAACAGGAAUUUGCAUCAGUAAGUACCUACUGUUUGUAUCUUUACAUCGAGCAUGUGUAUUAAUCAAGUAUGUGUAUAUUUAGAAUGUUGUAUGUUCAUAUUAAUAUUCUGGCAACAUUACUUAUUGUCAUCCACUGUACUGGUCAGUAUUCAAGAUAGUGAGUGACGAAUCCAGUGGGGAUAUUGUGCAAUGCACUAUUCAUUUUCUGUGAAUGAAAAUAUCAAACCUGCUGAAAUUUUAUGAUGACUGACUUCAGAAUUUGUUCUCCAAAUUGUGCUAACAAUACAGAUGUAUUAACAGUAUGUUUAAAGAAGGAUGCAAAUCUAUUCAUGAUAGUGCUGAAAGAGAAGGCUCAAAUGCCACAGUAGUGAAUGAUAGCAAUAUUCAACAUGUAGAGAACCUCAUCUUGAGUGAUAGUAAAUAACAGUUCAAGAAAUACUGGAAAAAUCCAUAAGUUGUAAAGAAGUUGGAUUUACCUGAAAUGCACAUGUUGGCUACUUGUCCAUGAUCUUGGCAAGAGGUGGUUUUGCUGGGGGAGGAUAGUGAUGAAAGAAGAAAAAUGAAUAAUUAUUGAACAGAAGCCUUUUUUAUUUAUCUACACUAGUAAUUUAUUAAUUCAUUACACUAAAAUAAUAUUUAUACAAAGAAAAUAUGGCUAAUUAACAAUUUAAAGUGAUCUUGAGUGGAUAUGUAAAUAGAUUUGGGAUAUAAAUUGGAUUUUUGCUGGCAGCUUAGAAGAGGAAAAGAUUUCAGUCAUCUGUAGUGGUAAUGAUUUGAUUAUUUGGUGCUUUUGUGAUUUCUGUUCAGUCACUAUCACAGUUGUUUGUAACUUGGUAUCAUUGUGGUUGCUGUUGGCAGGAAGUCUAUGAGAAAAAAUACCAUUGAAUUUAUCUUUGUAUUUUUUCUUAUAUGUUCAUAAUUUUGAAUCUAUUGGUAACUAAUUUAUUUUGCAUUCACAAUUACUAUUCAUUGAAAAUAUUCUUAUUUAUGUUGUCUUUAAUAAAUUUAAUUUCUUCUUCACUGAGAUGGCUCCUGGCCAUAAAGUUGAUGAAAUUGCAUAUUUUGAUAAAUGUAUGGGCCAAACCAAUGAAUAAUUUAUCAACAGUUGAAGACAAGAUCAGGGCUGUGUGUGAGAGGUGAUCUGUUAGGCAAGCGGAUCCUAACAAAGUAUUUUAUAUUGAAAAAAAUUAUUCAUGAUCAAAAGGAGUGCUUUUCCUGCAGGAUAAUGCCAAACUACACAUCUCUCAGAAAACUGCAAACAUUUGGUUAAGUCCUUCCAAUCCCUUACAGUCCCAAUUUAGCACCUUCAUAUAUCCAUCUAUAAGGUUAUUCAGAAAUUAAUUUCAUUUUUUCCCUAUGAAUGGCAUUAGUUGUAUUUUUAACCUACCAAUUUCAUUCUAAGCCAUAUUAUCGUUAUACAUUUUGAUAGUUUGACAUUUCAAG